GAUGAACGCUGGCGGCGUGCCUAACACAUGCAAGUCGAGCGAACGGACGCUAAUCUUGCUUCUCUGAUGUUAGCGGCGGACGGGUGAGUCACACGUGUAUAACCCCCCUAUCAUACUGGGAUAACUUCGGGAAACCGGCUCUAAUACCGUAUGAUAUUUUGAACCGCAUUGUUCAAAAGUGAAAUACGGUCUUGCUGUCUCUUAUCGCUGGAUCCGCGCUGCAUUAGCUAGUUGGUAAGUUAACGGCCUACCACGGCGACGAUGCAUAGCCGACCUGAGAGGGGGGUAGGCGACACGGGAGGUGAGACGCGGUCCAGACGACUACGGGAGGCAGCAGUAGGGAAUGUUACGCAAUGGGGGAGAGCAUGACGGAGCAAGGCGGCGUGAGUGACGAAGGUGUUCGGAUCGUAAAGAUGGGUUAUGAGGGGAGAACAGAUGUGGAAGUAAAUGUGCAGAGAGUGACGGUAACUGAUCAGAAAGCAACGGCUAACUACGUG
RNAcentral lists this ribosomal RNA (497 nucleotides) under uncultured bacterium. Its description in RNAcentral is "partial 16S ribosomal RNA". It matches the Rfam family "Bacterial small subunit ribosomal RNA", at positions 28 to 507 of the family's 1533-position model. The record is from RNAcentral.